RNAcentral lists this unclassified non-coding RNA (635 nucleotides) under Hevea brasiliensis (rubber tree). Lineage: Eukaryota; Viridiplantae; Streptophyta; Magnoliopsida; Malpighiales; Euphorbiaceae. The record is from RNAcentral.
CCAUCUGUUAAUAGUAUUCGACACAUUACAGCUGAGGUUGGUGCUGCUGUUCUGCGAGCAGCUGUUGCCGAAGGUUUGGCAGAAGGACAUGGUGAUUUGGGCCCCAGAGAGCUCAGGCACAUGUCAAAAGAGGAGACGGUGGAAUACAUCACGCGCAAUAUGUGGUUCCCAGUUUACAACCCCCUUGUUCAUGAGAAAUAGAGCUUUAGUUCAUGAAAAAUUUAUGGGCUCUGAUCAUCGCCCUCUACUGCUUCAUCUCCAGAAACGUCAAAAAUAGUGAAGAGAUCGUUUUAAGUUUGAACCUAAAUGGAUUAUUUCAGAAGAUUGUCAAUGAACUAUUGAGCAAUCUUGGACCACUGAUUCAGUCUCUUUGUCAGUUCAAAGCUCAAUCACUGCAAUGAAAUGUUAUCAUCUUGGAACCAAUCUAGGCCUUGUUUGGUUAAGAAGUAAAUAGACUAGGAAGUAGAAUUUAGUCUUGUUUAGUUUACAUUAUCCAACCAACUUCCUGAGAAGUAGAGCACUCUACUUCCCUUGUGCAAGUAAAGUAACUUACCUAAAUUGGUAAGUUGCACUUCCUUAGUAAAUAUAAUGAAUUUACUAAUUUGUCCUUUAAUGUAAAGUGUAAUAAAUUAAAG